RNAcentral lists this ribosomal RNA (595 nucleotides) under Trichoderma sp. KWG1(2). RNAcentral describes it as "eukaryotic LSU rRNA". It matches the Rfam family "Eukaryotic large subunit ribosomal RNA", at positions 32 to 646 of the family's 3401-position model. The record is from RNAcentral. Lineage: Eukaryota; Fungi; Ascomycota; Sordariomycetes; Hypocreales; Hypocreaceae.
AGUCACGACGCAUAUCAAUAAGCGGAGGAAAAGAAACCAACAGGGAUUGCCCCAGUAACGGCGAGUGAAGCGGCAACAGCUCAAAUUUGAAAUCUGGCCCCUCCGGGUCCGAGUUGUAAUUUGUAGAGGAUGCUUUUGGUGAGGUGCCGCCCGAGUUCCCUGGAACGGGACGCCACAGAGGGUGAGAGCCCCGUCUGGCUGGCCACCGAGCCUCUGUAAAGCUCCUUCGACGAGUCGAGUAGUUUGGGAAUGCUGCUCAAAAUGGGAGGUAUAUGUCUUCUAAAGCUAAAUAUUGGCCAGAGACCGAUAGCGCACAAGUAGAGUGAUCGAAAGAUGAAAAGCACCUUGAAAAGAGGGUUAAACAGUACGUGAAAUUGUUGAAAGGGAAGCGCUUGUGACCAGACUUGGGCGCGGCGGAUCAUCCGGGGUUCUCUCCGGUGCACUUCGCCGCGUUCAGGCCAGCAUCAGUUCGUCGCGGGGGAAAAAGGCUUCGGGAACGUGGCUCCUCCGGGAGUGUUAUAGCCCGUUGCAUAAUACCCUGCGGUGGACUGAGGACCGCGCAUCUGCAAGGAUGCUGGCGUAAUGGUCACCAGCG